GACGAGGGCGAGCUCCAGAAUCCCGGGUCUGGGGUCCCGGCCGGGAGGAUUCAGGCCUGAUUCCUGGGGUCCCGGCUUCGAGCAGGGAGGUGGUCAGGGGACCGGUUUUGGCUCUGGCUGUGCGGCGAGGUCUACCAUCGCCGCUGGAGCACCCGUGCCUCCCACAAAGGCUUUAGUAUCCAUGCCCUAAAAGGAGGAAUAAGGAGGACAAAUCACACUACUGCUGCUCAGUAGCUAUAUAAUCUUGGGAUAAAUUUACACUGCAGCCUGCUACGUUUUGUAAGCUUUGGUUAUUUGCAACUGCCAACCUCCCUGUCCCCCUUGGAGCAAUUUUCAAACAGGAGGUUCUGUAACCGCCAAGGGGAAGGAAACAGAAACAGGCGCUGCGACAGCAAGGGUUCCACUCCGGAAAUGACCCCCAGAGGAGCUGGGGCUGUGCCAGAAAGAAGAGCGAGAUAAAAGAGGCCAGGACUCAAAACCGGAGACAGAGGAGAACUGUGUAAACAGAUGAUUCUGUCCGCUUUGGCAGCUCUCCCCCUAUCACCCCAUCCCGAUCCUUCCCACACUCCACACAGAAGAGACUCAAAAUCUCAACAGUGACAGAGUCAGGGCCACACCAAGGGACACCCUUGCCAGAAAAGACCUGGGGCAGUGCUCCGGCCACAGUUUCAUACACCCUUCUGGAAUGCGAACUUUUCCCCCCGCCCCUCCUUCAGGCAACUUGGGGGAAGAAAAAGAGAAAACAAAGGCGGAUGGGCUGAGGUGGGGAUGUGGCAAGGUGGAGCCAAAAGUUAUAAAUGACAACUUGGGGCCUAAAAAUGAAUGCGUCUAUUGGCGUUCCACUACUUUAGGACAGAAUCCUAAUAUGGAAUUAACUUUUGUGACUUAGACAAGUUUUCCACAUUUCCAAAAGAGAAAGGAGCCUACUGUAUAUUCAGCUCUGUAAUAUUUGGUUCUUUCAAUUUUAAUUUUUUUGAAAAAGUCAAAGCCCCAGAAAAGUUGCAAAAAUAGUACAGUGAAAUUUAUAUGCCCUUAACCUCAGUUGUGAUUUGAUGAGAUUUUGUCCUUUUCUCUCUGUUUUGUUGAACCAUUUUUCACAACACUUUAAUCCCUAAAUAUAGGCCCAUAUCUCCAAGAACAAAGACAUUCUCUACAUUUAUGCACUAUCAUAAUCUCACCUAAGAAAUGUAACAUUGAUUUAAUAUCAUCUAAUAUGUAGAUCAUGGGCUUCCAGGGGGUGCAGUGGUAAAGAAUCUGCCGGAAACGCCAGAGACCUAGGUUCAAUUCCUGGGUCAGG
Molecule: long non-coding RNA, 1297 nt
Organism: Odocoileus virginianus texanus
Lineage: Eukaryota; Metazoa; Chordata; Mammalia; Artiodactyla; Cervidae
Source: RefSeq, a predicted model, not a curated record